This 295-nucleotide unclassified non-coding RNA is filed under the name Hevea brasiliensis (rubber tree). The record is from RNAcentral. Lineage: Eukaryota; Viridiplantae; Streptophyta; Magnoliopsida; Malpighiales; Euphorbiaceae.
AAGCAUACUGUUUCCUGCAACUGAGAGGUUAUUGCUUCCAAGUCCAAUAAAUGACAAGUGUUUGAGUUGACCAAAAGAAUGUGGAAUAUUUCCACCGAAGAAAUUUUGAUGAGCAGAGAAUAUCUCAAGUGAGCUAAAAUUCCCAAAAAAUGGCGGUAAGCCCCCGCUUAAAUAAUUAAAAUGAAUUGAAAUACGUUUGAGCUUGGACAAAGAGGCGAGCUCCACUGGAAUGUUUCCAACCAGCAUGUUGUAACCUAAUCCAAGUCCCUUGAUGUUCAAGCAUUUGGACAAGUUG